This 273-nucleotide ribosomal RNA is filed under the name uncultured bacterium. RNAcentral describes it as "partial 16S ribosomal RNA". It matches the Rfam family "Bacterial small subunit ribosomal RNA", at positions 524 to 796 of the family's 1533-position model. The record is from RNAcentral.
GACGUAGGGCGCGAGCGUUGUCCGGAUUUAUUGGGCGUAAAGAGCUCGUAGGCGGCUUGUCGCGUCGAAUGUGAAAUCUCAGGGCUCAACUCUGACAUUGCAUUCGAUACGGGCAGGCUAGAGUUCGGUAGGGGAGACUGGAAUUCCUGGUGUAGCGGUGAAAUGCGCAGAUAUCAGGAGGAACACCGGUGGCGAAGGCGGGUCUCUGGGCCGAUACUGACGCUGAGGAGCGAAAGCGUGGGGAGCGAACAGGAUUAGAAACCCCCGUAGUCC